This 422-nucleotide ribosomal RNA is filed under the name Loktanella sp. SJ1808. Its description in RNAcentral is "bacterial SSU rRNA". It matches the Rfam family "Bacterial small subunit ribosomal RNA", at positions 58 to 525 of the family's 1533-position model. The record is from RNAcentral. Lineage: Bacteria; Pseudomonadati; Pseudomonadota; Alphaproteobacteria; Rhodobacterales; Roseobacteraceae.
CAAGUCGAGCGAGACCUUCGGGUCUAGCGGCGGACGGGUUAGUAACGCGUGGGAACGUACCUUUUGCUUCGGAAUAGCCUCGGGAAACUGGGAGUAAUACCGAAUGUGCCCUUUGGGGGAAAGAUUUAUCGGCAAAAGAUCGGCCCGCGUCUGAUUAGAUAGUUGGUGGGGUAAUGGCCUACCAAGUCUGCGAUCAGUAGCUGGUUUGAGAGGAUGAUCAGCAACACUGGGACUGAGACACGGCCCAGACUCCUACGGGAGGCAGCAGUGGGGAAUCUUAGACAAUGGGCGCAAGCCUGAUCUAGCGAUGCCGCGUGAGUGACGAAGGCCUUAGGGUCGUAAAGCUCUUUCGCCAGGGAUGAUAAUGACAGUACCUGGUAAAGAAACCCCGGCUAACUCCGUGCCAGCACCCGGCGGUAAUA